RNAcentral lists this ribosomal RNA (451 nucleotides) under uncultured bacterium. Its description in RNAcentral is "bacterial SSU rRNA". It matches the Rfam family "Bacterial small subunit ribosomal RNA", at positions 340 to 786 of the family's 1533-position model. The record is from RNAcentral.
UACGGAAGGCAGCAGUGGGGAAUAUUGCACAAUGGGCGAAAGCCUGAUGCAGCUAUGCCGCGUGUAUGAAGAAGGCCUUAGGGUUGUAAAGUACUUUUCAGCAGGGAGGAAGAAUAAAACUAAUAAUUUUAUUUUGUGACGUUACCUGAAGAAGAAGCACCGGCUAACUCCGUGCCAGCAGCCGCGGUAAUACGGAGGGUGCAAGCGUUAAUCAGAAUUACUGGGCGUAAAGAGCGCGUAGGUGGUUUUUUUAAGUCAGAUGUGAAAUCCCUAGGCUUAACCUAGGAACUGCAUUUUGAAACUGAAAACUAGAGUAUCGUAGAGGGAGGUAGAAUUCUAGGUGUAGCGGUGAAAUGCGUAGAUAUCUGGAGGAUACCUGUGGCGAAAGCGGCUCUAAACGAUACUGGACACUGAGUGCGAAAGCUGGGGAGCAAACAGGGAUUAGGAUACC